AACGACUCUCGGCAACGGAUAUCUCGGCUCUCGCAUCGAUGAAGAACGUAGCGAAAUGCGAUACUUGGUGUGAAUUGCAGAAUCCCGUGAACCAUCGAGUCUUUGAACGCAAGUUGCGCCCGAAGCCUUUUGGCCGAGGGCACGCCUGCCUGGGCGUC
This 158-nucleotide ribosomal RNA is filed under the name Coriaria lurida. Its description in RNAcentral is "5.8S ribosomal RNA". It matches the Rfam family "5.8S ribosomal RNA". From Rfam's summary of the family: 5.8S ribosomal RNA (5.8S rRNA) is a component of the large subunit of the eukaryotic ribosome. The record is from RNAcentral. Lineage: Eukaryota; Viridiplantae; Streptophyta; Magnoliopsida; Cucurbitales; Coriariaceae. RNAcentral also lists the same sequence under 5 other names.